Molecule: long non-coding RNA, 1539 nt
Filed under: Salmo salar (Atlantic salmon)
Lineage: Eukaryota; Metazoa; Chordata; Actinopteri; Salmoniformes; Salmonidae
Description: lncRNA (ENSSSAG00000120495.1)
Source: RNAcentral
UGUGUAUCUCAAUAUAAAACCGUGACGAGAUAAAAGAAAAACGCCUUCCUAAAAACCACAACAUUUAAAUAUCACAGUGACGACGACAACUACAAAUUUGUGGCACAAAUGAUAUUUACAAUAAAUCAACGUUACAAUAUUAUAAUAUUCACGCUGGAGCCUUUAGUAACUUAAAUAAAAAUAAAUGAAACAAAAUAAAAAUGUACUCAACUAAAUGGCACCGUAUGUCCUUACCUACAGUGAUAACCUACAUUUUGACCAGGGCCCGUUGGAAAACCUUCUGCACAGAAAACUGUGGCCUUCUCUGAACAAUCUGACAUCAUAGAUGGGACAUUCUAGAACCACUAGAAGGGACAUUCUAGAACCACUAGAAGGGACGUUCUAGAACCACUAGAAGGGACAUUCUAGAACCACUAGAAGGGACAUUCUAGAACCACUAGAAGGGACAUUCUAGAACCACUAGAAGGGACAUUCUAGAACCACUAGAAGUCCUCGGUUCCACAACUUCCUGUCAACACGUUUUUAACCUUUUCACAUUUUAAAGACAACAGAAAGAUGAUGAAAUGUUUAAAAAAAAAAAAAAUUGCUAAAUUUGGUUUUAAAAAUCUUUUUUUUGUUUGUUUGUUUGUCUAAAUGAAAGGAGAGAAUUACCUCCAGAGCUGAGAAUGAAAACAUAUCUGUAGCCAUCACCAAAGCCUGAGUCUAAAAGCCUGUUUUAAACUAAAGAUACACUUGUAUCAGUGUGAGGAAAAUGUCAAAACUUGUUACAUCCAAAAAAUAAGAAUUAAAAUACAAAAAUAACAGAAAAUAUUCAAAACCUUCAAUAUUGUGGAAGGGGACGAUUUAAAACAAUGUCAAAAUGAAAAAAAAAUGAAAAAUACUUCUUUAAAAGAAAAAUGUGUAUGUUUUUUUUUUAAUUCAAAUUUUCUAGUGUCAAAAAACUAAAUCUUGCUGUGUUUUUCUCCUCUCUGUCUCUGUCUCGUGGCGUCUUAAUAUUUGAAUGUAUUUUUUCUGCCAAUUUGCCAAAGAUAUCACGUCACUGAAUUUCUCUCUUUUUUUGAAUUUUGGUUUUCAACAUUUUUUUUUUUGUUCUGUAAAACUGGAAAUAAAUAAAUAAGUGACUUUGAUAUUAUGCUUAUUUUUGUUUUUAUAUAUAUAUAUAUAUAACUGUUGUUAUUGUUAAUAAUAAUGAUUAUAAUAUUAUUUUAGUUCUUAUGGGGUUGAUUUGUUCUUGUGAAAUGUUGACUUGCAGUUCGCUGGGUGCAUCUAUUGUUACACAAUCAGUCUAUGGUAAGGGUCCUAAAUAACACCCUAAAAUCUCUUUUUAUAACAGUGUACUUCUAUUGAAAAGUAGUGCACUACAAAGGGAAUAGGGUGGGAUUUAAGCCAGAUUGUAAUAUGUGCAUCUGUCCUCCUGACCAACAGAGUGUGUGUGUGUGUGUGUGUGUGUUUUGUGAAUCUUGGAUUUAUGUACUGUACGGUGAAGAAACAAAGUCAAUAUUUGUAAAUAUUUGCCAUAAUUUUAUUGGGUUCUUCAGA